RNAcentral lists this small RNA (62 nucleotides) under Arabidopsis thaliana (thale cress). RNAcentral describes it as "ATSL183050". The record is from RNAcentral. Lineage: Eukaryota; Viridiplantae; Streptophyta; Magnoliopsida; Brassicales; Brassicaceae.
UGCUCCCUGGUCACUCUCGAUAAUAACCAACAACUUCCGCUUGGGAUGGAGAACAAACUUUC